GACGAACGCUGGCGGCGUGCCUAAUACAUGCAAGUCGAGCGGACCAAAGGGAGCUUGCUCCUGGAGGUUAGCGGCGAACGGGUGAGUAACACGUGGGCAACCUGCCUGUAAGACUGGGAUAACAUCGAGAAAUCGGUGCUAAUACCGGAUAAUAAAAAGAACUGCAUGGUUCUUUUUUGAAAGAUGGUUUCGGCUAUCACUUACAGAUGGGCCCGCGGCGCAUUAGCUAGUUGGUGAGGUAACGGCUCACCAAGGCAACGAUGCGUAGCCGACCUGAGAGGGUGAUCGGCCACACUGGGACUGAGACACGGCCCAGACUCCUACGGGAGGCAGCAGUAGGGAAUCUUCGCAAUGGACGAAAGUCUGACGGAGCAACGCCGCGUGAGUGAUGAAGGUUUUCGGAUCGUAAAACUCUGUUGUUAGGAAGAACAAGUGCCGUUCGAAAGGGCGGCACCUUGACGGUACCUAACGAGAAAGCCACGGCUAACUACGUGCCAGCAGCCGCGGUAAAGUC
This 514-nucleotide ribosomal RNA is filed under the name uncultured bacterium. Its description in RNAcentral is "bacterial SSU rRNA". It matches the Rfam family "Bacterial small subunit ribosomal RNA", at positions 28 to 526 of the family's 1533-position model. The record is from RNAcentral.